AACAAACGCUGGCGGCGUGCCUAAUACAUGCAAGUCGAACGGGGAAAGUAGCAAUAUGAGUACUAGUGGCGCACGGGUGAGUAACGCGUGGAUAAUCUGCCUUGAGGAGGGGGAUAACUAGUCGAAAGAUUAGCUAAUACCGCAUAAGACCACAAGAACUGAGGUUCAAGGGGUCAAAGGUUUUUCGCUUCAAGAUGAGUCCGCGUAAGAUUAGCUAGUUGGUGAGGUAAUGGCUCACCAAGGCAACGAUCUUUAACUGGUCUGAGAGGAUGAUCAGUCACACUGGAACUGAGACACGGUCCAGACUCCUACGGGAGGCAGCAGUAGGGAAUAUUGCACAAUGGAGGAAACUCUGAUGCAGCGACGCCGCGUGAGUGAUGAAGGCCUUCGGGUCGUAAAGCUCUGUCGCAGGGGAAUAACACAAUGAAUGUACCCUGUAAGAAAGGAUCGGCUAACUUCGUG
This 462-nucleotide ribosomal RNA is filed under the name uncultured bacterium. RNAcentral's name for it is "partial 16S ribosomal RNA". It matches the Rfam family "Bacterial small subunit ribosomal RNA", at positions 29 to 507 of the family's 1533-position model. The record is from RNAcentral.